CCUACGGGAGGCAGCAGUGAGGAAUAUUGGUCAAUGGACGCGAGCCUGAACCAGCCAAGUAGCGUGAAGGAUGACUGCCCUAUGGGUUGUAAACUUCUUUUAUAUGGGAAUAAAACAGGGUAUGCAUACCCUCUUGUAUGUACCAUAUGAAUAAGGAUCGGCAAACUCCGUGCCAGCAGCCGCGGUAAUACGGAGGAUCCGAGCGUUAUCCGGAUUUAUUGGGUUUAAAGGGAGCGUAGGUGGAUUGUUAAGUCAGUUGUGAAAGUUUGCGGCUCAACCGUAAAAUUGCAGUUGAAACUGGCAGUCUUGAGUACAGUAGAGGUGGGCGGAAUUCGUGGUGUAGCGGUGAAAUGCUUAGAUAUCACGAAGAACUCCGAGUGCGAAGGCAGCUCACUGGACUGCAACUGACACUGAUGCUCGAAAGUGUGGGUAUCAAACAGGAUUAGAUACCCCAGUAGUC
Molecule: ribosomal RNA, 460 nt
Filed under: uncultured bacterium
Lineage: Bacteria
Description: partial 16S ribosomal RNA
Rfam family: Bacterial small subunit ribosomal RNA
Source: RNAcentral